AUUUAUAAAUGAUUAAUACAAGUUUAUCUUUUAAAAUUUCAGGAAGAAAUGAGAAAAGAAAUUAAUGAUGCUGCAAAGUCAUAGAGUUCUCAAGGUUCUACUUCUUGGAAAGUAGAUGUACACUCUAAAGUGCAAGGAUCUGAGAAAAAGGGACGUGUGCGGUGCUUGGGAAGGUUACCUACAAUGAAAGUUCUAAGGCUCCAUCAUCUUAAUCUGCGGAUAUUCAAAAGGUUUAACAAAUGAAAGAUCAAAUUCAAGGCUUACAAGGAUUGGUUUCUGAUAUGGUAGCACUGUUACAGAGUAAGUUUCUUGAUGAGCAUAUUACCAAUAUCUCAAAUGCAACAAACCAAGAAAGAAAUCUAGAGAUACUGCUGGUGCUCUAGAUAAUUCUCCACAUCUUCACUCCACAUAUUCGAGUUGUCCAUUUAACUGGUACGUUCUCGGUUUUUGAGAGAUAAGUUUGUAAUUUUCUAUUUGAGGUUUUAGAGUUUUGGUACUAUUUACAUUAAUAAAAUAGAUUAUUAAGUUGUGUUGGAACUAUGUAAUUUUAAAAUUCCAUUGAACUUGUGCAUGUUUUAAAAAUGUGGAUGUUUGGAACUAGUGGAGUUAACUAAUUAUAUUUUAUUUUAAGGAAAUGUUAUAUAUUUGAUUAUUUCAA
Non-coding RNA from Phoenix dactylifera (date palm), 658 nucleotides. NCBI's taxonomy places the organism in Eukaryota, Viridiplantae, Streptophyta, Magnoliopsida, Arecales, Arecaceae. The record is from RefSeq and is a predicted model, not a curated record.